AUUUUCCGGAAUCCACGAGGAUGAGAACCUCCGGGGGCAAGAGGUUCGACUCGAGCGGAGCGAGAGAACGUUGCGCCAGCAACGGCCCGCAGUGGCGAGUAAUCCUCUAUCACCGACCA
Molecule: small RNA, 119 nt
Filed under: Citrobacter pasteurii
Lineage: Bacteria; Pseudomonadati; Pseudomonadota; Gammaproteobacteria; Enterobacterales; Enterobacteriaceae
Also listed under: 2 other names
Description: RtT sRNA
Rfam family: RtT RNA
About the family: This family represents a bacterial cis-regulatory element known as RtT RNA. The exact function of RtT is unknown although it is thought that it may be involved in changing the cellular response in relation to amino acid starvation.
Source: RNAcentral